CGGGCAAUAACUGAUGUAUUGGCCUCCCUUGCCACAAUAGAAGCAAAAGGCUUUGGCUCUCCUUCUGGCCUUUUCAUUUACCGUGAGCAUGGUAUUCAGUGUUCCAAUUUGCAUGGGUUCCUCUGUGUCCAUGGUGGGGAUAGGGGUAUAGGUCUCACCAGCAGGUUUGGAACAUUGAAGGGGCAAAAAGCUGGUUUCAAAUUGCUCCUGCUUCCUUUCUCUGAAC
Pelobates cultripes (western spadefoot toad) is the source of this 226-nucleotide non-coding RNA. NCBI's taxonomy places the organism in Eukaryota, Metazoa, Chordata, Amphibia, Anura, Pelobatidae. The record is from the annotation of a GenBank genome assembly.